GAUGAACGCUAGCGACAGGCCUAACACAUGCAAGUCGAGGGGCAGCACGAAGCAAGCUUGCUUGUUUUGGUGGCGACCGGCGCACGGGUGCGUAACAGGUGUGCAAUCUGUCCAUAAUCGGGGAAUAGCCCAGCGAAAGUUGGAUUAAUGCUCCAUGUGAGUUUUAGAGGCAUCUCUUUAAUUUGAAACGUAAGGAUUAUGGGUGAGCACGCUUCUGAUUAGGUAGUUGGUGAGGUAACGGCUCACCAAGCCGACGAUCAGUAGGGGUUCUGAGAGGAAGGUCCCCCCACAUUGGAACUGAGACACGGUCCAAAACUCCUACGGGAGGCAGCAGUGAGGAAUAUUGGUCAAUGGGACGGAAGUCUGAACCAGCCAAGUCGCGUGAAGGAUGAAGGUUCUAUGGAUUGUAAACUUCUUUUGUCUGAGGGUAAAAAAGCGGACGUGUCCGUUCUUGCAAGUAUCAGACGAAUAAGCAUCGGCUAACUCCGUGCCAGCAG
This 497-nucleotide ribosomal RNA is filed under the name uncultured bacterium. RNAcentral's name for it is "bacterial SSU rRNA". It matches the Rfam family "Bacterial small subunit ribosomal RNA", at positions 28 to 514 of the family's 1533-position model. The record is from RNAcentral.